GACUGGUCCGAUUGUAGUGGGUACAAACGAUUCAUAAUGUUCAGUCAGUUACGUAGAGUCCACAUUUGUGACCCCAACCUGCUCACUACACAACUUGACUAGUCUUUU
Molecule: Y RNA, 108 nt
Organism: Oncorhynchus kisutch (coho salmon)
Lineage: Eukaryota; Metazoa; Chordata; Actinopteri; Salmoniformes; Salmonidae
Rfam family: Y RNA
About the family: Y RNAs are components of the Ro ribonucleoprotein particle (Ro RNP), in association with Ro60 and La proteins. The Y RNAs and Ro60 and La proteins are well conserved, but the function of the Ro RNP is not known.
Source: Ensembl